GCGCCCGCUUCUCCCGCUUUACGGCUGCUGAAAACCCGGCCCGGCAGCCGUACCGCAGAUGAGCCCGCGCCCGCGCCGCUCAGUUUUCUGAAAGGGAACCUUGUAAGAUCAGUUAUGGGCUAUGAUGAAACCAUUUUAAGUCUCUGUUCUUUGCCAAGCUCCAAGGUCUAUGAAAUCUGAUGGUGUAGGAAAUGCUCAUCCAGUAUCCGCAGUGCUGUUUAAAGAGAAAAGGCCCAGUGUAAUUUUGGCUUAUUUUACAUCAAAAAUCACCUCCAUCAAAGCAGAGAUCAAUGAUGAUUAACAUGAAUAUUCUGAAGUUUGUAUCUACAUCUCUUAUACAAAUGCAUUUUGUUUAAGCUUUCCCAUAAUAAAGAUCUCCCAGCUGGACGUUCAAAAUAGCUUUUGAUGUCUUAGGGCGUCUUUUAUUCAACCCUAGCUAUUAAAGGAAACU
RNAcentral lists this small RNA (451 nucleotides) under Pongo abelii (Sumatran orangutan). Its description in RNAcentral is "processed transcript". Lineage: Eukaryota; Metazoa; Chordata; Mammalia; Primates; Hominidae. The record is from RNAcentral.